AGAGCGAACGCUGGCGGCAGGCCUAACACAUGCAAGUCGAGCGCGUGUAGCAAUACACGAGCGGCAGACGGGAGAGUAACACGUGGGAACGCGCCCUUCGGUUCGGAAUAACUCAGGGAAACUUGAGCUAAUACCGGAUACGCCCUUACGGGGAAAGAUUUAUUGCCGAAGGAACGGCCCGCGUCCGAUUAGCUAGUUGGUGAGGUAACGGCUCACCAAGGCGACGAUCGGUAGCUGGUCUGAGAGGAUGACCAGCCUCACUGGGACUGAUACACGGCCCAGACUCCUACGGGAGGCAGCAGUGGGGAAUAUUGGACAAUGGGCGCAAGCCUGAUCCAGCCAUGCCGCGUGGAUGAUGAAGGCCUUAGGGUUGUAAAGUCCGUUUUAACGGGGAAGAUAAUGACGGUACCCGUAGAAUAAGCCCCGGCUAACUUCGUGCCAGCAGCCGC
Molecule: ribosomal RNA, 449 nt
Filed under: uncultured bacterium
Lineage: Bacteria
Description: SSU rRNA
Rfam family: Bacterial small subunit ribosomal RNA
Source: RNAcentral